RNAcentral lists this ribosomal RNA (465 nucleotides) under Vreelandella stevensii. RNAcentral's name for it is "partial 16S ribosomal RNA". It matches the Rfam family "Bacterial small subunit ribosomal RNA", at positions 338 to 795 of the family's 1533-position model. Lineage: Bacteria; Pseudomonadati; Pseudomonadota; Gammaproteobacteria; Oceanospirillales; Halomonadaceae. The record is from RNAcentral.
CCUACGGGCGGCAGCAGUGGGGAAUAUUGGACAAUGGGGGCAACCCUGAUCCAGCCAUGCCGCGUGUGUGAAGAAGGCCCUCGGGUUGUAAAGCACUUUCAGUGAGGAAGAACGCCUGGUGGUUAAUACCCAUCAGGAAAGACAUCACUCACAGAAGAAGCACCGGCUAACACCGUGCCAGCAGCCGCGGUAAUACGGAGGGUGCGAGCGUUAAUCGGAAUUACUGGGCGUAAAGCGCGCGUAGGUGGCUUGAUAAGCCGGUUGUGAAAGCCCCGGGCUCAACCUGGGAACGGCAUCCGGAACUGUCAAGCUAGAGUGCAGGAGAGGAAGGUAGAAUUCCCGGUGUAGCGGUGAAAUGCGUAGAGAUCGGGAGGAAUACCAGUGGCGAAGGCGGCCUUCUGGACUGACACUGACACUGAGGUGCGAAAGCGUGGGUAGCAAACAGGAUUAGAUACCCGGGUAGUC